RNAcentral lists this ribosomal RNA (253 nucleotides) under uncultured bacterium. RNAcentral describes it as "partial 16S ribosomal RNA". It matches the Rfam family "Bacterial small subunit ribosomal RNA", at positions 524 to 776 of the family's 1533-position model. The record is from RNAcentral.
GACGGAGGGUGCAAGCGUUAUUCGGAAUGAUUGGGCGUAAAGCGUUCGCAGGUGGCUGUUCAAGUCAGCUGUCAAAGCCCGGGGCUUAACCCCAGAAAGGCAGUGGAAACUGAGCGGCUGGAGUGCAGAACAGGUAGAGGGAAUUCCCAGUGUAGCGGUGAAAUGCGUAGAUAUUGGGAAGAACACCGGUGGCGAAAGCGCCCUCCUGGACUGCAACUGACGCUGAGGGGCGAAAGCUAGGGGAGCGAAAGGG